GAUGAACGCUGGCGGCGUGCCUAAUACAUGCAAGUCGAGCGAACAGACGAGAAGCUUGCUUCUCUGAUGUUAGCGGCGGACGGGUGAGUAACACGUGGAUAACCUACCUAUAAGACUGGGAUAACUUCGGGAAACCGGAGCUAAUACCGGAUAAUAUUUUGAACCGCAUGGUUCAAAAGUGAAAGACGGUCUUGCUGUCACUUAUAGAUGGAUCCGCGCUGCAUUAGCUAGUUGGUAAGGUAACGGCUUACCAAGGCAACGAUGCAUAGCCGACCUGAGAGGGUGAUCGGCCACACUGGAACUGAGACACGGUCCAGACUCCUACGGGAGGCAGCAGUAGGGAAUCUUCCGCAAUGGGCGAAAGCCUGACGGAGCAACGCCGCGUGAGUGAUGAAGGUCUUCGGUUCGUAAAACUCUGUUAUUAGGGAAGAACAUAUGUGUAAGUAACUGUGCACAUCUUGACGGUACCUAAUCAGAAAGCCACGGCUAACUACGUG
Molecule: ribosomal RNA, 497 nt
Filed under: uncultured bacterium
Lineage: Bacteria
Description: partial 16S ribosomal RNA
Rfam family: Bacterial small subunit ribosomal RNA
Source: RNAcentral